Molecule: long non-coding RNA, 211 nt
Filed under: Glycine max (soybean)
Lineage: Eukaryota; Viridiplantae; Streptophyta; Magnoliopsida; Fabales; Fabaceae
Description: long non-coding RNA (GMAX_LNC001540)
Source: RNAcentral
AAGGAAUUAAUUCAAGGUAAGUCCAUUUGGCUAGAAGCUUAUAAGAACUAAAUUGCCUCAAUCAUUUCCAAAUAUGCAUGUAAAUUAGGAAGCAUCAACAAGAAUCAAGCCAAGGCUAUUGUGCAAGCAAUCAAUGGGGCAAAAUACACCAAAUGAUUAUGAUGAUGGCUCAAAUUCUCACAAAGGUAAACUUAUCACUUCCAUAUUGAGC